RNAcentral lists this ribosomal RNA (301 nucleotides) under uncultured bacterium. RNAcentral describes it as "partial 16S ribosomal RNA". It matches the Rfam family "Bacterial small subunit ribosomal RNA", at positions 509 to 807 of the family's 1533-position model. The record is from RNAcentral.
CAGUCGCCGCGGGAAUACAGAGGGUGCAAGCGUUAAUCGGAUUUACUGGGCGUAAAGCGUCUGUAGGUGGCUUUUCAAGUCCGCCGUCAAACCCCAGGGCUCAACCCUGGACAGGCGGUGGAGACUACCAAGCUGGAGUACGGUAGGGGCAGAGGGAAUUUCCGGUGGAGCGGUGAAAUGCAUUGAGAUCGGAAAGAACACCAACGGCGAAAGCACUCUGCUGGGCCGACACUGACACUGAGAGACGAAAGCUAGGGGAGCAAAUGGGAUUAGAUACCCGCGUAGUCCCUGUCUCUUAUAC